AAACCAUUUGGAACAGGAGCUCCAGGUUCCAGUCUUAGCUGUGACCUUGAAGAAACUGCCAUAUAUGUUUUUGGACUUCAAUAUUCUCACCUGAAGAAUGGGGCUACCUCUGUUCUGCCUGUACUGAGAGAUUGAGAAUGCUUUGGAGUGCAAGCAAAGAAGAUUAUCAAUUAUUUUCCCCAUGGGAACCCACAUUACUUCUGUCUUAAGGACUGGGGGCAGGGAAGGACGGCAGUAUAUCCUUCCACCAUCUGACCAGGCGGGCUCAGUGGGCUUUAGGCCCCCAACACCUGCUUCCUGUCCCAUUGUUUUGGACAGGAAGGAGCCUGGAAGGGAGCUGGAGCCACUUCAGUGGCCGGAUUUCGGCCUGUCUUGGCGCCCAUCGGGGGAGUUAGUGAUCUACCACAGUCUCAAAUCCCACCCCAAAUCCAGGUGAUGGGGAGUCAGCCCUAGCUCUGCAGCACCGCCGAUGGGAACUGCACCGCAUCUCUGGGUUUCCGCCCUCUUCCCAACCCCGGCGAGUUCCAGACACAAGCUGGCAGGCUUCAGGCUCUGCUUCCUUCCCAGUUUAUUAGUCCCCACCCAACCACCCAGCAAGUCCCUCCACUUCAGUCUCCAUUCCCCUGCUGCUCUGCCAGCAAGAGCGAGGGGCCCUCCUCAGUGCCAGGGCUUUUUCAGUCCAUGCCAGCGCCCUGGUGCUCAGCCGAAGCUGCGACCAGGUCUGGAGGUCCACGGCAUUCCCCGCGCUCAGAGAGCAAUCCAGGCAGGCAUUGGCGUGGAAAAUGCGGCGCCCUCAGUCAUCAGGAGAGCAGGCUAGGGGCAACUGAUCCGGGCUGCCCACACUGCCAGUGCUGGAACUUCCAUCGCCUAGGUCGCGGGGCCCGCACGGUGGCAGGGCGAGCUCGGGUGUGGGCCCAGCACCUGAGCCCACUGCGCCGCCGGGGCCACCACGGGGGCCCCACUCUUCGCCCAGUGCUAGGCAAAGCUCCUUAAGGGCCAGAUUUUCCCGCAGCAGCUCCUCCUGGCGGCCUUCCAGCUCGGCUAGCUUCUGCCAACAACCACCCAGGUCCUCGCGCACCGCCCGGGAUGCUUGGGUCCCAAAGAGCUGCCACUGGCGCGCCGCACGCCGUCCUCGUUGGCGCUCUGAGUCCAGGAAGCAGCAGAGGUCGCGCAGCUCCCGGUUCUCCGCCUGCAGACGCCGGUUGAGCUGUUUGAGCUCACGGAUCUCACCCAGGUGACCCUGCAGCUGCCGAUUCACCUCCUGCAUCAGGCGGCCGCGCUGCACCAGCGCUGCCAGGCGCGCCGCCUCCUCCCGCCGUAGGCGCCGCACCAGCUCCUCCUUACCCAGCGCCGCCAUCUCCUCGUCCGUCAGCUCCUCCAGGCCGCCUGCCUCGGCCUCCAUAGUUGAUCAGGCAGCUGCAGCAUCGCCCGCCCACGGCCGCGGCUCUGAAGCCCCUCCUCGGGCCGGUUGCCGCUCAGGCUCCGGCCCGGGUCUGGC
Molecule: long non-coding RNA, 1498 nt
Filed under: Rattus norvegicus (Norway rat)
Lineage: Eukaryota; Metazoa; Chordata; Mammalia; Rodentia; Muridae
Description: long non-coding RNA NONRATT001432
Source: RNAcentral